This 433-nucleotide ribosomal RNA is filed under the name uncultured bacterium. RNAcentral's name for it is "partial 16S ribosomal RNA". It matches the Rfam family "Bacterial small subunit ribosomal RNA", at positions 29 to 507 of the family's 1533-position model. The record is from RNAcentral.
AACGAACGCUGGCGGCAUGCCUAACACAUGCAAGUCGAACGAGACCUUCGGGUCUAGUGGCGCACGGGUGCGUAACGCGUGGGAACCUGCCCUUAGGUUCGGAAUAACUCCCCGAAAGGGGUGCUAAUACCGGAUAAUGUCUUCGGACCAAAGAUUUAUCGCCUUUGGAUGGGCCCGCGUUGGAUUAGCUAGUUGGUAGGGUAAAAGCCUACCAAGGCGACGAUCCAUAGCUGGUCUGAGAGGAUGAUCAGCCACACUGGGACUGAGACACGGCCCAGACUCCUACGGGAGGAAGCAGGAAUGAAUAUUGGACAAUGGGCGAGAGCCUGAUCCAGCAAUGCCGCGUGAGUGAUGAAGGCCUUAGGGUUGUAAAGCUCUUUUACCCGGGAUGAUAAUGACAGUACCGGGAGAAUAAGCGCCGGCUAACUCCGUG